AAUCAACCAAUAUAGGUCCGUCUUUCAGUUGGGAAUAAAAAAUGUCUCAAAUAUGAAUUUAAAAUGAAUAAUGUGCAACAACUGAUAAUUAAUAUCACUUGUUAAAAUUUCUCAUGGUCAAUCAAACAUAAAUACAUAGUCAUACACAAUAUGUAUAUACAUUAGCUGAAUCUGUGCCAUUGUCACAAAACCUUGAGACUCUUAUUAGUUGCAGUGCAUGUUAGUGCCCAAGUCCCAACCAUCACUCUAUGUUGGUGCAGUUGAACAUCAUUCCAAUGCAUAAUCUCAGGAGAUCCUACAUCAGCAUAGGCAAUAUGGGGCACACAAGAAAUGCCAAGGUACAACACUUGGUACAACAACUGCACUUGCAAGCCAUAGCCACGCGCUUUAUCUAAUUCCAUGCACUCUUAAUUUCUACACUCCUCUUCCUUCACAACAUCUAAGCUCCAAUUCGCCAUCUUUACAUCAAUCAUCCAUCUUUGCUCUUGCAACCCAUCCUCAC
This 502-nucleotide long non-coding RNA is filed under the name Physcomitrium patens. RNAcentral describes it as "long non-coding RNA (PPAT_LNC004850)". Lineage: Eukaryota; Viridiplantae; Streptophyta; Bryopsida; Funariales; Funariaceae. The record is from RNAcentral.